GGCAACAGCUCAAAUUUGAAAUCUGGCCCCCAGGGUCCGAGUUGUAAUUUGCAGAGGAUGAUUUUGGCGAGGUGCCUUCCGAGUUCCCUGGAACGGGACGCCACAGAGGGUGAGAGCCCCGUCUGGUUGGACGCCGAGCCUAUGUAAAUCUCCUUCGACGAGUCGAGUAGUUUGGGAAUGCUGCUCUAAAUGGGAGGUAUAUGUCUUCUAAAGCUAAAUAUUGGCCAGAGACCGAUAGCGCACAAGUAGAGUGAUCGAAAGAUGAAAAGCACUUUGAAAAGAGGGUUAAAUAGUACGUGAAAUUGUUGAAAGGGAAGCGCUCAUGACCAGACUUGGGCCCGGUGAAUCAUCCAGCGUUCUCGCUGGUGCACUUUGCCGGGCUCAGGCCAGCAUCAGUUUGCCCCGGGGGAUAAAGGCUUUGGGAAUGUGGCUCCUCCGGGAGUGUUAUAGCCCAUUGCACAAUAUCCUGGGGUGGACUGAGGUUCGCGCAUCUGCAAGGAUGCUGGCGUAAUGGUCAUCAGCGACCCGUCUUA
Molecule: ribosomal RNA, 533 nt
Filed under: Metapochonia rubescens
Lineage: Eukaryota; Fungi; Ascomycota; Sordariomycetes; Hypocreales; Clavicipitaceae
Description: partial large subunit ribosomal RNA
Rfam family: Eukaryotic large subunit ribosomal RNA
Source: RNAcentral